GGGGGAUUAGCUCAGUGGGAGAGCAUCCCGUUCGCAACGGGAAGGGCACGGGUUCAAAUCCCGUAUCCUCCA
This 72-nucleotide transfer RNA is filed under the name Candidatus Stahliibacteriota bacterium. RNAcentral describes it as "tRNA-Ala". It matches the Rfam family "tRNA". From Rfam's summary of the family: Transfer RNA (tRNA) molecules are approximately 80 nucleotides in length. Their secondary structure includes four short double-helical elements and three loops (D, anti-codon, and T loops). Further hydrogen bonds mediate the characteristic L-shaped molecular structure. tRNAs have two regions of fundamental functional importance: the anti-codon, which is responsible for specific mRNA codon recognition, and the 3' end, to which the tRNAs corresponding amino acid is attached (by aminoacyl-tRNA synthetases). tRNAs cope with the degeneracy of the genetic code in two manners: having more than one tRNA (with a specific anti-codon) for a particular amino acid; and 'wobble' base-pairing, i.e. permitting non-standard base-pairing at the 3rd anti-codon position. The record is from RNAcentral. Lineage: Bacteria; Candidatus Stahliibacteriota.